RNAcentral lists this transfer RNA (88 nucleotides) under Fervidobacterium nodosum. RNAcentral describes it as "tRNA-Leu". It matches the Rfam family "tRNA". From Rfam's summary of the family: Transfer RNA (tRNA) molecules are approximately 80 nucleotides in length. Their secondary structure includes four short double-helical elements and three loops (D, anti-codon, and T loops). RNAcentral also lists the same sequence under 4 other names. The record is from RNAcentral. Lineage: Bacteria; Thermotogati; Thermotogota; Thermotogae; Thermotogales; Fervidobacteriaceae.
GCCGAGGUGGCGGAACUGGCAGACGCGGUUGACUCAAAAUCAACAGGAGCUAGGCUCCGUGCGGGUUCAAGUCCCGCCCUCGGCACCA